GUGACGCUUGCUUUGGGGACACAUAUACUGAAACUGUAGUGAUACAGGAAGAUUAGUAUGGCUCCUACACAAGGAUGACUCACAAAUUCAUGAAGCAUUCCAUAUUAUU
Octodon degus (degu) is the source of this 109-nucleotide small nuclear RNA. Lineage: Eukaryota; Metazoa; Chordata; Mammalia; Rodentia; Octodontidae. The record is from Ensembl.